Molecule: long non-coding RNA, 1733 nt
Filed under: Theobroma cacao (cacao)
Lineage: Eukaryota; Viridiplantae; Streptophyta; Magnoliopsida; Malvales; Malvaceae
Description: long non-coding RNA (TCAC_LNC000438)
Source: RNAcentral
AACAAUUUGCUUUCAAAUGAACGUUUUAGAUACUUAAUUGUUUUUAAAUCAUUAAAUAUAUAUUUUCUACUUACCUACUACAUUUUUAGCAAGUUUUGAGAUUUUUGACGAAAAAUUACUAAAAUACCCCUGUGAGCCAAAAAAUAAUAUUUUAUUGUUCUUAUUUAAAAAUGACUUAUGAUUUUUUUGAAAUACGAGAUUUAAUAACUGUUGCUCACCGGGGAGAUGCGAAAGUUGAUGCUAAGCCUUGCGAGGUUUCAAUCGACAUUCGGGGUGAAGAAUGUUUGUCGAGGCCUCACGACGGUUGUCACGGGCCCGAUGGGUAGUUCCGGGUCGUGACAACAUAAAUCAUGUUUUUAUUUUGAAAACAUAGCCGUUGGCCGAGUUCACCCUCACGUGGUGGUUUGGCGUGAAGUGAACUCUAAAAUGUUAACCUCAGGAGUUAUCCAUCCGUGCCUCUUAAACUGAGGUAUGAAUAUGACCAGGUUUUGUGCCCCUCUAAUAGGUUGGUCCACAGAACUAGCUCACUACAGCAAGCUAAACCCACCAUACAAUAAAAAUUCAACAGCAUGACAUGGUAAUUUUAUAAUUAUCUAGCCUAUCCAAGCAAACAACAGUUUAUACAUUUCAACACAAAUACCAAUUCAGCCAUUCAUGCCAAUAUUGUCAUAAGCCAAUCAAUUAGAACCAUAAAUUCACAAUACAUCAAAUGGUCUCCAAUUACUCUAUUUGAAAAGCCAUUAUUCAAUUUUAAAACAAUUUUAUGAAAUCAUUUCACUAAAUCACAUUUUUGUUUAUAAAAUCAAAAAAUUAAUAAUUUAAUUCAUUUUCCAUAAAAUUUACAAAAUCGGAUAAAACAUACUUUAGAUAAUUAAGACGAUAAUAAGGUUACUCACAGUACUAGGAGUUCGAUAUACUCUUAUUCUCGAUCUUCAGGCACAAUCUCUUUACCCUUGUUAGAGGGCUCACCACCUAUACAUCAUACAUGACACGAAUUUCAAUAAAUUGUGUCAAUUUAUCAUAAACUAUUUAAAGCUCUAUAAAUCUAUAUGAAUGCACAAAAUGUGAUGCAAAAUGUCUAAAUAUCCGUUUAAAUACGGUAUUCAACCUAAUUCGUACUAUUCUCGAUGUAAUUGGCUAAAACCUCCAAUUUAACUCCAAAUCGAUUUCUUUCACUUUCUACACUCCAAUUAUACUUAAAAUGCCUCAAUGACUGUGAAUAUGAUUCAAUUUAUCAAUCCGAACCAUAAAUCGCACAUGUCUAUACAUUAGGUAAAAAUUUAUAUUUUCAUGCCAAAAUUUCCCAUUAAAUUUCUAGCCUCACCAAUCAUUAAAUACCACCAAAAUAUCAUGAAAUAUCAUCAAUUUCAGCCUCAAUAUCCUCCCUAGAAAAUUCGGCCUCUUGUGGGUUUGUGAAGAACAAAGUGAUUCCUUGCUAGAUUUUCAUACUUUCCAUUAUCAAACAACCAAAAACACUUAAUUAGCUUGAAAUCUAGCAAAAUCAAUGCUCAAAACCUCUCCUCUCAAAUUCGGCCAGCAUGGGUUCAUUAUGCAAACUUGAGUUCUAAGCAUGGAAAAUGAAAAAGAAAGCAUGGGUAGUGUAAAUCACAAGAUAAAACCACAAAAGUUUACCUCUAUUAUCUUAAUCCCUUGAAAUCUCACACUUUUUCUUCAAUUUUCCCUCCUAGGGUUUGUGUUAUUUCCUUUCCUCUUCACUUCAUGCUUUGGCCGGC